This 440-nucleotide ribosomal RNA is filed under the name uncultured bacterium. RNAcentral describes it as "partial 16S ribosomal RNA". It matches the Rfam family "Bacterial small subunit ribosomal RNA", at positions 338 to 795 of the family's 1533-position model. The record is from RNAcentral.
CCUACGGGAGGCUGCAGUGGGGGAUAUUGCACAAUGGGGGAAACCCUUAUGCAGCGACGCCGCGUGUGGGAAGACGGUCCUCUGGAUUGUAAACCACUGUCCCCAGGGACGAAGAUGACGGUACCUGGGGAGGAAGCUCCGGCUAACUACGUGCCAGCAGCCGCGGUACUACGUAGGGAGCGAGCGUUGUCCGGAAUUACUGGGUGUAAAGGGAGCGUAGGCGGGACUGCAAGUUGGGUGUCAAAUCUACCGGCUCAACCGGUAGCCGCACUCAAAACUGCAGUUCUUGAGUGAAGUAGAGGCAGGCGGAAUUCCUAGUGUAGCGGUGAAAUGCGUAGAUAUUAGGAGGAACACCAGUGGCGAAGGCGGCCUGCUGGGCUUUUACUGACGCUGACGCUCGAAAGUGUGGGGAGCAAACAGGAUUAGAUACCCGGGUAGUC